UCCCAGCCUCCCACUCCCACAGAGUGGUUGAAUAUGCAUAAAUCAAAUGCACUUUAAUUCAAGAACGCUCUCUACUUCAAACAUUAGAGAUGUCUUUUGGCCUCUCAGUUCUAUCCUGAAGCUUGCUUCCUGUUCUGUGCUCAAAACGAGCUCAAAACAAUUGUAUGCCUGAGAUACUGUUUCCAUGGAAGAAGUUUAAUGAAUUCUAGCAACCUUAAUUAGACAAAUUAAAUAGCCACACAAAACCUAUGUCUGGGCACCACCAAUCCUUCUGAUUAUCUAGAAAGACUGGCAAUUUUUUUCUUUCCCGGACAAAGCCCUGUUCUUUUCAAAUUUUUAUUUGUUCUUUGUUGCCUUUCUUCUAUGAAAUGAUUCACUCACUUGGUUGACUUUUGAUGUAGUACCUGAGUGUUUUUAAAAGGCAUGAAGGUUAAAACCUGUUCCAUUUCUGAUACUUUUGCAUGUGGUAAAAUGUAAACUAUUUGAAAUGGCUGAAGUGAAUGCUUGGUGUACAUUUGUAUUGAUAUGUGCGGUGGGAGUGGAGUGCAGGAGGACUGGAGUUCACAACUUCUCAGCAAAGUGUUACACCUCUCAGAACGGACAUCUAGACCACACAGUUACCCUUUUGCUAUGGAUGGGUGUGUCUUCCUCAGUUCUCACUUUGUAGAGCUGCACUUUUUAAAGUUCAGCUCAGACAGCUGCUGGCACAAAGAGGGCCAUACUGAAGACUCCAUGGAGAGAGUAAGAAUGUUCUCCCCUGUGUCUGAGCUCUUGCCCUUGCCGUUCCUUCUGCCAGAGACAGCCCUCUUUCUUCAGAACCGCUUCAACCAGACCCCAUGAACUUCCCCGGACCCCAGAGCUCAUUUCAAUUAGGAACUUCCUUGGAGACCUGAGCCCCAGCCAAGGUCAAGUACCUUUGCCAUUGUUCUUAUAAGCUUUCUACUUGUUCUUCUAGUUACUUAAGUUAGCUUGCAUUUGAUUCCCUGAGUCAUUAUUUGAUUAAGGUCUGGUGUCCCCUUUUAGAUUGAAAACACCCAAAGAACAGCAGCUGUGUCCUUUUUUUCUCACUACUGCAUCUUCAGCACACUCCCUGGUACCUGAUACGUGCUCAAUAUUUGUUGGUUGAAUGAAUAGAUUGGAUCCGUUGGGGACUCCUAGAAAUGACAGGAGGAGUCUUUGAAGAGGACCUAAAGCCCAGCAAAAGAAAAUUAAGAGAGAGUCAGAGAAAUAUAUUUCAUUAUAGUUAGCAUGGCUUCAUUGUCCCUGGGCAGCUGGAUGGUAACAGACGACACAAUGUUAAUAGAUUAUAGCACAUAUACAUGAUGGCAUAUUAUGCAACCACUGGAAAUCACAUUUGAUUUGUCUCAUACACAUAGAAAGGAACACCAUGUAGAUAUUCAAAUUAUAUUGCAGAUUUAUGUUUAACAUGUAAAAAUGAUCCCGAUAUAUUAUUCAAUAUUAAAAAAGCAGGUUGUAGAACAAUUUGUAGAAGGUGAUAUUGCUUUGUUUAAAAUUAGUAUAAAAUUAUAAAUAUGUGCUGAUCAUAUGCCAGGCACUGUGAGAAACACUUUACAUUUAUAUGAAAUAUCUUAUAAGAACCCUAAAAGGAAGAUACUUUUAUCUCCAUUUGCUAACUCUGGCCACUCUUCCCCCUGAUGUUCCUCCAAUGUACUGGAUUAAUCAUGUCUUUUACUCUGUACUCUUUUUGAUCCUUUGACAUCUCAGGUCAAAGAUAAAAGAUAAAGAAAGAUAAAAGAAAAUAGAUAAAGAAAGAUAAAGAUAAUAAUGAGCUUUUACUGGUAGAACACUUGCCUGUAGCUCUAUAUUAAUAUCAUAACUACUUUAACAACUAUGUUAGUAAUGAUCCCCUGAAGUUAGGAUUAUUUACUUCCUCUUUUUCCUAAAUUUUAUGCAAUGAAUAUGGGUUAAUUUUGCAACAUAACAUAAUUCAUUUAAAAAUACAUGUAUAAAAAUAAAUAAAUAAAUAAAAAUACAUGUAUAUGCUUUUUAAUGACAAAAAUGUUCU
RNAcentral lists this long non-coding RNA (2026 nucleotides) under Canis lupus familiaris (dog). RNAcentral's name for it is "lncRNA (ENSCAFG00000058470.1)". Lineage: Eukaryota; Metazoa; Chordata; Mammalia; Carnivora; Canidae. The record is from RNAcentral.